Molecule: ribosomal RNA, 402 nt
Filed under: uncultured bacterium
Lineage: Bacteria
Description: bacterial SSU rRNA
Rfam family: Bacterial small subunit ribosomal RNA
Source: RNAcentral
GGGGAAUAUUGCGCAAUGGGGGAAACCCUGACGCAGCGACGUCAUGUGAAGGAUGAAGGCUUUAGGGUUGUAAACUUCUGUCUAGAGGGAAGAAUUAAUGACUGUACCUCUAAAGAAAGCACCGGCUAACUCCGUGCCAGCAGCCGCGGUAAUACGGAGGGUGCAAGCGUUAUUCGGAAUUACUAGGUGUAAAGGGCGUGUAGGCGGUUUAGUAAGUUAGGUGUGAAAUCUCAUGGCUCAACCAUGAGUCUGCAUCUAAAACUGCUAGGCUUGAGUAUGGAAGGGGAAAAUGGAAUUUCUAGUGUAGCGGUGGAAUGUGUAGAUAUUAGAAGGAACAUCGAUGGCGAAAGCGAUUUUCUAGUCCAAUACUGACGCUAAGGCGCGAAAGCUAGGGGAGCAAAC